This 492-nucleotide ribosomal RNA is filed under the name uncultured bacterium. RNAcentral describes it as "partial 16S ribosomal RNA". It matches the Rfam family "Bacterial small subunit ribosomal RNA", at positions 29 to 507 of the family's 1533-position model. The record is from RNAcentral.
AGUGAACGCUGGCGGUAGGCCUAACACAUGCAAGUCGAACGGCAGCACAGUAAGAGCUUGCUCUUACGGGUGGCGAGUGGCGGACGGGUGAGGAAUACAUCGGAAUCUACUUUUUCGUGGGGGAUAACGUAGGGAAACUUACGCUAAUACAGCAUACGACCUACGGGUGAAAGCAGGGGAUCUUCGGACCUUGCGCGAUUGAAUGAGCCGAUGUCGGAUUAGCUAGUUGGCGGGGUAAAGGCCCACCAAGGCGACGAUCCGUAGCUGGUCUGAGAGGAUGAUCAGCCACACUGGAACUGAGACACGGUCCAGACUCCUACGGGAGGAAGCAGUGGGGAAUAUUGGACGAUGGGCGCAAGCCUGAUCCAGCCAUACCGCGUGGGUGAAGAAGGCCUUCGGGUUGUAAAGCCCUUUUGUUGGGAAAGAAAAGCAGCAGGUUAAUACCCCGCUGUUCUGACGGUACCCAAAGAAUAAGCACCGGCUAACUUCGUG